Molecule: transfer RNA, 80 nt
Filed under: Jatropha curcas
Lineage: Eukaryota; Viridiplantae; Streptophyta; Magnoliopsida; Malpighiales; Euphorbiaceae
Rfam family: tRNA
About the family: Transfer RNA (tRNA) molecules are approximately 80 nucleotides in length.
Source: Rfam by way of RNAcentral
GACAGUUUGGCCGAGUGGUCUAAGGCGCCAGAUUUAGGCUCUGGUCCGAAAGGGCCUGGGUUCAAAUCCAACAGCUGUCA